RNAcentral lists this ribosomal RNA (712 nucleotides) under Aporosa yunnanensis. Its description in RNAcentral is "eukaryotic LSU rRNA". The stretch from base 297 to 452 matches the Rfam family "5.8S ribosomal RNA". Lineage: Eukaryota; Viridiplantae; Streptophyta; Magnoliopsida; Malpighiales; Phyllanthaceae. The record is from RNAcentral.
AUUUAGAGGAAGGAGAAGUCGUAACAAGGUUUCCGUAGGUGAACCUGCGGAAGGAUCAUUGUCGAAACCUGCGAACCGCAGAACGACCCGCGCACCGGUUAUAAUAAAAUCCCGUUGGGGCGCUCGCACGGGCGUCCCAACAGGCUCGCGGGGAGGACCCGUCCCUCCCGCGGGCAAACGAACAAACAACCCCGGCGCAGGACGCGCCAAGGAAUACGAAACGAAAAAGGGUGCGCGCCCCGCCGUACCGGAGACGGCCAGCGAGCGGGUGCGUCGUCCUCUUAACGAAACAAAACGACUCUCGGCAACGGAUAUCUCGGCUCUCGCAUCGAUGAAGAACGUAGCGAAAUGCGAUACUUGGUGUGAAUUGCAGAAUCCCGUGAACCAUCGAGUCUUUGAACGCAAGUUGCGCCCGAAGCCCCCGGGCCGAGGGCACGUCUGCCUGGGUGUCACGCAACGUCGCCCCCCACCAACCCCUGCCCCGACCACGUCCGGGCGGCGGAGGAGGGAGCGGAGUAUGGCCUCCCGUUGGCACAGCCCGCGGUUGGUUGAAACACGAGUUCCCGGCGCAACGCGUCGCGGCGAUCGGUGGUUGAAAGGCCCCUAAACACCGCCGCGCACCGUGCGAUCCGGACCCUCAAGACCCCGAAGCGUCCGUAGGCGGACGCCCCACACGCGACCCCAGGUCAGGCGGGACUACCCGCUGAGUUUA